This 74-nucleotide transfer RNA is filed under the name Akkermansiaceae bacterium. RNAcentral's name for it is "tRNA-Phe". It matches the Rfam family "tRNA". From Rfam's summary of the family: Transfer RNA (tRNA) molecules are approximately 80 nucleotides in length. Their secondary structure includes four short double-helical elements and three loops (D, anti-codon, and T loops). Further hydrogen bonds mediate the characteristic L-shaped molecular structure. tRNAs have two regions of fundamental functional importance: the anti-codon, which is responsible for specific mRNA codon recognition, and the 3' end, to which the tRNAs corresponding amino acid is attached (by aminoacyl-tRNA synthetases). tRNAs cope with the degeneracy of the genetic code in two manners: having more than one tRNA (with a specific anti-codon) for a particular amino acid; and 'wobble' base-pairing, i.e. permitting non-standard base-pairing at the 3rd anti-codon position. The record is from RNAcentral. Lineage: Bacteria; Pseudomonadati; Verrucomicrobiota; Verrucomicrobiia; Verrucomicrobiales; Akkermansiaceae.
GGCUGGAUAGCUCACGCAGGAGAGCGUCGGUCUGAAGAACCGGAGGGUAGAGUGCAACUCUCUGCCAGCCACCA